Molecule: ribosomal RNA, 391 nt
Filed under: uncultured bacterium
Lineage: Bacteria
Description: bacterial SSU rRNA
Rfam family: Bacterial small subunit ribosomal RNA
Source: RNAcentral
UUUUAUAUGGGGAAAACCUUUCCUGGUCUUGACAUCCUCGGAAACAUGCAGAGAAACGGGGGUUCCUUCGGGAGCCGAGACACAGGGGGCGCAUGGCUGUUCUCAUCUUGUGUUGUGAGAUUGUGGUUUAAUUCCCACAAAGAGCGCACCCCUUCCCCUUAGUUCACAUCAUUAAGGUGGGGACUUUUAGGGGGCUGCCGGUGACAAAUCGGAGGAAGGUGGGGAUGACGUCAAGUCAUCAUGGCCCUUAAGGCCAGGGCUUCCCCCGUUCUACAAUGGCCGGUACAAAGGGGUGCCAACCCGCGAGGGGGAGCCAAUCCCAAAAAACCGGUUUUAGUUCGGAUUGGAGUUUGCAACUUGGCUCCCUGAAGUCGGAAUCCGGGUUAAUUGC